Non-coding RNA from Caenorhabditis elegans, 145 nucleotides. The record is from Ensembl. Lineage: Eukaryota; Metazoa; Nematoda; Chromadorea; Rhabditida; Rhabditidae.
CAAAAGAUCAAACAAAAAUAAUUGCGAAAAUGAUGAAAACGUGCGAUAAGUCAACGAAUUCUCGAGAGGAGCAAACUUCUGCAGAGGCCAUCGCCACGUGCGUUCUUAUCAAAAAGAGAUAAAUUAUUUCUCAAGGUGAUCGGAA